This 79-nucleotide non-coding RNA is filed under the name uncultured Clostridium sp. Its description in RNAcentral is "skipping-rope RNA". It matches the Rfam family "skipping-rope RNA". From Rfam's summary of the family: Firmicutes, Fusobacteria, AlphaProteobacteria, Spirochaetes. Downstream gene Lineage: Bacteria; Bacillati; Bacillota; Clostridia; Eubacteriales; Clostridiaceae. The record is from RNAcentral.
UUAUUGAGGUGAGAAAUGGCUCCUCAUGCACUGAAGAUUUCAGUAAACAGAGAUGCAGGAAAUGUCGACCUGCCAAUAA